Long non-coding RNA from Manihot esculenta (cassava), 1451 nucleotides. RefSeq lists it as uncharacterized. The record is from RefSeq and is a predicted model, not a curated record. The transcript has 2 exons. Lineage: Eukaryota; Viridiplantae; Streptophyta; Magnoliopsida; Malpighiales; Euphorbiaceae.
UAUAAAUUAUUUUAACUCAAAAUUUCUAAAUUCAUUAUGAAUAAUUAUAUAAUAUAAAAAUAAUUUAUAUUAAUAUUUAAUUUAUAAAAAAAGAAUUAAAAAUACUUUAAAAAAAUCAAUAAACAACAGUUCAUUAUAAUCUACUAGCCUUGGGAUGGUAAAUUCUAAUGUUUUACUUUGUGAGGAUGUGGGCUUUCAGUCAUUCAAAUGUGAAAUUGUUUCUACCAUAGUGUAUAAUGUUCUUUGAAGUAUGUCAUUUGUGAUACCGUGGAAAAUUAAGGCUUUGAUUAUGGUUCUCUCUUUUAUAUUUGCUCUCGCAUUUUAGAUGUUUUUGUUUCAAUUGAUUCCCUGUUAGGUGAAUACUGUUGCAGACAUGUUAGCUAAGUUUUGCCUAAGAGACUUACUACCCCCAGAUUGGUAGCAAUAUCAGUUCGCAGAUUUGUGUUCUUUGUUAUAACAAGGUUUUGCCCCGAGAAAUGUCUGUAAUGCAAAUGUUGAUUGGUAAGGAAAGAAAAGUUUUUAACUUUUUUAUACAUGUGGCUCCUAUGCUCGUCAACAAAAGCAUAAUAAUAAAAGUAGAGUGUAGUAGAACCUUGAACUACAGAUAUAGAACUUGUAGACAGGUCUUCAAGAAGCAAAGAAAAAGACAAAACUAGCCUCAAGAAGUAGAGAAGUAGAAAGAAAGAGAGAAGAAGAAGAAGAAAGGAGAGCAGAAAGGCGAAAAGACAGCCUCAAGAGGAAGCAAAAUGUUCGAGAGAAAGAGAGAAGAAGAAGAAUAAAAAGGACUUGAGCAUGUCUUUAGGAAAAGGGGCCUAGGGUGCACCUGGCUGCUCCUCGACUCCCUAGGCUCACCUCACAACAUUGCCCACUUGGAGAGGAUUGAGGCAUUUUUCCAUGAGCCUAGAUCGCUUGACACCUUGCUUGCACUUUGGGUCCACCUUUAAUCACAUUGCAUGUGAUGCCGAUAGCAAAGUGGCUUCUUUCUCUGUCAUUGUUAAAGUAAUGCUGAUGUAGCAUUUAAUAAAUGCGCAAUUAAAAAUAAGUUUUAAUUAGGAUAGUUUACAAUUUAAUCUUUGAAGUUCAGUAAAACCUACAAUGUAAUUCUUAUAUUUUCAAAUUUAGUCCAUAGUUGAUUUAUUAACAAAACAAUCUCUUUAGUUGCAAUUAAUCCCUACGUCUUCACAAAUUAAUUUCCAAGUAUUAAAAUUAUUUACAAAUAAGCCAUAAUAAUUUUACAAAUUAAUCUCCGAUGUGUAUUAAACUUUAAAUUCUUAUACUUGAAAAAAAAAGAGAAAAUAAUAAAAUAAAAAGAAAAUCAAGCUUAAAAAGAAUCCCCUUUUUGUACAACUUUCUCCUCUCCAUUGAUUUAAUUUGGGCAAAAAGGAAUCUCAAGAUUUUAAUUUGAUUUUUAUUUUAUUAUUCUCUCUCUCUUUUUUUUUUUUUUUCAAAUA